AUAAGAAGGUAAGAAGGCUGCAGCUUCCACUGGGCCUCUUGGGCUGCGUACUCUUGACACUCUUGCUCUGAGAACUAAGCAGGCAUAUUGCAUAUCAAAAUAGUAAAGAACUUCCUUUCCAAAGGCAAGACAUGCUUCUGUGAGGUACUGAGCCACCCGUCCCUGGAGGAAAGCAAGAACAGAGCAGAUCAGGGCCCAGGCAGACAUCUUGGAUGAUGGGGUACAUCUUGCCAUCCCGAGGCAAAGCUGGAGCGGGCAGUUGUCUGUGGGGAGGCCCUGGCUCACUCUGGGCCAAAUAACAGGACUGAUUGCAGCCAGCGAUGAAACAUCCUGUUUCUCCCAACCAGAAACAGGUAGAGGAGCUGCUUUAGGACGGAAGAUGAAGCUUGCUUUUUCUUUCUCCUAGAAGUCAGCAUUUUACAUGAUUCUGGGAGGGAAGAAAGGAGACAGGAACCAAGGAGCCUGAGUGGGGAUUUGCCCACAGCUGGGCAGCGAGGCUCCCGUCAGGAAGGCUUUUCAGAGGGAGUGUUGGAAGGAGUCGUCGAGGAGUCUUCCUCACCCAGGAAGUCUUCCUUACAGGGUGAGCCCCAACCUGCUGGACCUGUGCAGAAUUCUCCCAACAGGGGAUCCUGGUUGACUGAGGUCUGCUAAUUCCAAUUCACAUACGCUAAAUUCUCCCACAAUGUCUUCAUCAUCAAUGAAUCCCUUUCCACUGACACAAUGCCUGGAAGAACAUAAACACUGUGAGGAUAAAUGCCAAUGAAAUAAUAAUAAAAUAAACUUUCUUUGGUGGCCAGAGGA
RNAcentral lists this long non-coding RNA (801 nucleotides) under Pongo abelii (Sumatran orangutan). Its description in RNAcentral is "lincRNA". The record is from RNAcentral. Lineage: Eukaryota; Metazoa; Chordata; Mammalia; Primates; Hominidae.